This 325-nucleotide transfer-messenger RNA is filed under the name Dechloromonas denitrificans. RNAcentral describes it as "Betaproteobacteria transfer-messenger RNA". It matches the Rfam family "Betaproteobacteria transfer-messenger RNA". From Rfam's summary of the family: Bacterial tmRNA, also known as 10Sa RNA or SsrA, is named for its dual tRNA and mRNA-like properties. Its role is to liberate the mRNA from a stalled ribosome. Lineage: Bacteria; Pseudomonadati; Pseudomonadota; Betaproteobacteria; Rhodocyclales; Azonexaceae. The record is from Rfam by way of RNAcentral.
GCCGGCAAAUCUUGUAAAACCGGCCACCCGCCCCCAUAAUUCGAUGCAUGGUUGUAACUCCGGCGAGCUGGAGACGUUCUGGACAGGGGUUCGACUCCCCUCAUCUCCACCUAAGCGCAUCGCGGUGCGUUUAGAUGGGGGUGUACCGGUUUCGACAGGGCGGGUGAAGGUGAGCAGGCAACUCGUCAGGCGAUCGACGUUAAUGAAGCAAAUUCAUAAAUGCCAAUGAUGAGCAUUUCGCUAUUGCCGCCUAAAAACGGCUAGCCGGGGCUGCUAGAGCCUUGUUACCAAAGAUAGCCGGCGGGGACUUCGGUCCCCGUCGUCA